Molecule: ribosomal RNA, 485 nt
Filed under: uncultured bacterium
Lineage: Bacteria
Description: partial 16S ribosomal RNA
Rfam family: Bacterial small subunit ribosomal RNA
Source: RNAcentral
AUUGAACGCUGGCGGCAUGCCUUACACAUGCAAGUCGAACGGCAGCACGGGUGCUUGCCCCUGUGGCGAGUGGCGAACGGGUGAGUAAUACAUCGGAACAUGUCCUGUAGUGGGGGAUAGCCCGGCGAAAGCCGGAUUAAUACCGCAUACGAUCUACGGAUGAAAGCGGGGGACCUUCGGGCCUCGCGCUAUAGGGUUGGCCGAUGGCUGAUUAGCUAGUUGGUGGGGUAAAGGCCUACCAAGGCGACGAUCAGUAGCUGGUCUGAGAGGACGACCAGCCACACUGGGACUGAGACACGGCCCAGACUCCUACGGGAGGCAGCAGUGGGGAAUUUUGGACAAUGGGCGAAAGCCUGAUCCAGCAAUGCCGCGUGUGUGAAGAAGGCCUUCGGGUUGUAAAGCACUUUUGUCCGGAAAGAAAUCCUUGGCCCUAAUACGGUCGGGGGAUGACGGUACCGGAAGAAUAAGCACCGGCUAACUACGUG